UGUAUCUCUGCUAUUCUUCUUGCAGUAUCUUGCAGCUGUUGUAAUGGUUUAGUUAGCUCAGCUCUUAAAUGUAUUUGUUCAUUUGUUUUGUCUCCUGGGAUAAAGCAACUUGCCAAAGCCGCGGUUUGAUGAUGAUCAAGAUCAUUGAAUGUACCAUUCAACAUCAAUUCUGUCACAAGGAGUUCAUCCCCAGUGUCUAUCAAGCAGGCUGCUCGUCCCUUCAACAGCACAACACCAUCAGCAUCUAUGUGACCCAGCUUCUUCAAGACUUGGGAACGGUUUUUAAGUUCAUCGCGAAAUUUUUGAAGCUGU
RNAcentral lists this unclassified non-coding RNA (312 nucleotides) under Hevea brasiliensis (rubber tree). The record is from RNAcentral. Lineage: Eukaryota; Viridiplantae; Streptophyta; Magnoliopsida; Malpighiales; Euphorbiaceae.